This 429-nucleotide ribosomal RNA is filed under the name Chloroflexota bacterium. Its description in RNAcentral is "Chloroflexi bacterium partial 16S ribosomal RNA". It matches the Rfam family "Bacterial small subunit ribosomal RNA", at positions 355 to 776 of the family's 1533-position model. Lineage: Bacteria; Bacillati; Chloroflexota. The record is from RNAcentral.
UGGGGAAUAUUGCACAAUGGGCGCAAGCCUGAUGCAGCCAUGCCGCGUGUAUGAAGAAGGCCUUCGGGUUGUAAAGUACUUUCAGCGGGGAGGAAGGGAGUAAAGUUAAUACCUUUGCUCAUUGACGUUACCCGCAGAAGAAGCACCGGCUAACUCCGUGCCAGCAGCCGCGGUAAUACGGAGGGUGCAAGCGUUAAUCGGAAUUACUGGGCGUAAAGCGCACGCAGGCGGUUUGUUAAGUCAGAUGUGAAAUCCCCGGGCUCAACCUGGGAGCUGCAUCUGAUACUGGCAAGCUUGAGUCUCGUAGAGGGGGGUAGAAUUCCAGGUGUAGCGGUGAAAUGCGUAGAGAUCUGGAGGAAUACCGGUGGCGAAGGCGGCCCCCUGGACGAAGACUGACGCUAAGGUGCGAAAGCGUGGGGAGCAAACAGG